RNAcentral lists this ribosomal RNA (301 nucleotides) under uncultured bacterium. RNAcentral's name for it is "partial 16S ribosomal RNA". It matches the Rfam family "Bacterial small subunit ribosomal RNA", at positions 509 to 809 of the family's 1533-position model. The record is from RNAcentral.
CAGUAGCCGCGGGAAAACGUAGGUGGCAAGCGUUGUCCGGAUUUAUUGGGCGUAAAGCGAGCGCAGGCGGUCAAUUAAGUCUGAUGUGAAAGCCCCCGGCUCAACCGGGGAGGGUCAUUGGAAACUGGUUGACUUGAGUGCAGAAGAGGAGAGUGGAAUUCCAUGUGUAGCGGUGAAAUGCGUAGAUAUAUGGAGGAACACCAGUGGCGAAGGCGACUCUCUGGUCUGUAACUGACGCUGAGGCGCGAAAGCGUGGGGAGCAAACAGGAUUAGAUACCCGCGUAGUCCCUGUCUCUUAUAA